Callithrix jacchus (white-tufted-ear marmoset) is the source of this 2502-nucleotide long non-coding RNA. The record is from Ensembl. NCBI's taxonomy places the organism in Eukaryota, Metazoa, Chordata, Mammalia, Primates, Cebidae.
AUGCCUGGGGCAUCUUCCACACCUGGGGCAUCAUCCACUGCUGGGACAUCCACGCCUGGGGCAUCAUCCACUGGUGGGACAUCAUCCACGCCUGGGGCAUCAUCCACUGCUGGGACAUCAUCCACUGCUGUGGCAUCAUCCACACCUGGAGCAUCAUCCACGCCUGGGGCAUCAUCCAUAGCUGGGCAUCAUUUAUGCCUGGGGCAUCUUCCACACCUGGGACAUCAUCCAUGCCUGGGGCAUCAUCCACUGCUGGGACAUUUAUGCCUGGGGCAUCCACUGCUGGGACAUUUAUGCCUGGGGCAUCAUCCACUGCUGGGACAUCAUCCACGCCUGGGGCAUCAUCCACUGCUGUGGCAUCAUCCACGCCUGGGGCAUCAUCCACUGCUGGGACAUCACUGCUGGGACACAUCCAUGCCUGGAACAUCAUCCACUGCUGGGACAUCAUCCACUGCUGGGACAUCCACACCUGGAGCAUCAUCCAUGCCUGGGGCAUCAUCCACUGCUGGGACAUCAUCCAGUGCUGGGACAUUUACGUCUGGGGCAUCAUCCACUGCUGGGGCAUCAUCCACUGCUGUGGCAUCAUCCACGCCUGGGGCAUCAUCCAUAGAUAGGCAUCAUUUAUGCCUGGAGCGUCUUCCACACCUGGGGCAUCAUCCACUGCUGCGGCAUUCACACCUGGGCAUCAUCCAUGCCUGGAACAUUAUCCAAACCUGGGGCAUCAUCCACGCCUGGGGCAUCAUCCACUGCUGGGAGAUCAUCCAUGCCUGGAACAUCAUCCACUGCUGGGACAUCAUCCACUGCUGGGACAUUUACGCCUGGCACAUCAUCCACUGCUGUGGCAUCAUCCAUGCCUGGGGCAUCAUCCAUAGAUGUGCAUCAUUUAUGCCUUGGAGCAUCUUCCAUACCUGGGGAAUCAUCCACUGCUGGGACAUCAUCCACUGCUGUGGCAUCAUCCACACCUGGAGCAUCAUCCAUGCCUGGGGCAUCAUCCAUAGCUGGGCAUCAUUUAUGCCUGGGGCAUCUUCCACACCUGGGACAUCAUCCAUGCCUGGGGCAUCAUCCACUGCUGGGACAUUUAUGCCUGGGGCAUCAUCCACUGCUGGGACAUCAUCCACUUCUGUGGCAUCAUCCACGCCUGGGGCAUCAUCCACUGCUGUGGCAUCAUCCACGCCUGGGGCAUCAUCCACUGCUGGGACAUCAUCCACUGCUGGGACACCAUCCAUGCCUGGAACAUCAUCCACUGCUGGGACAUCAUCCACUGCUGGGACAUCCACACCUGGAGCAUCAUCCACGCCUGGGGCAUCAUCCACUGCUGGGACAUCAUCCAGUGCUGGGACAUUUACGUCUGGGGCAUCAUCCACUGCUGGGGCAUCAUCCACUGCUGGGUCAUCAUCUACGCCUGGGGUAUCAUUUACUGCUUGGGCAUUAUCCAUCCCUGGGGCAUCAUCCACGCCUGGAGCAUCAUCCACACCUGGGGCAUCAUCCAUUGCUGGAACAUCAUCAACUGCUGGGACAUCAUCCACUGCUGGGACAUCAUCCACUGCUGUGGCAUCAUCCACGCCUGGGGCAUCAUCCAUAGAUAGGCAUCAUUUAUGCCUGGAGCAUCUUCCACACCUGGGGCAUCAUCCACUGCUGCGGCAUUCACACCUGGGCAUCAUCCAUGCCUGGAACAUCAUCCAAACCUGGGGCAUCAUCCACGCCUGGGGCAUCAUCCACUGCUGGGAGAUCAUCCAUGCCUGGAACAUCAUCCACUGCUGGGACAUCAUCCACUGCUGGGACAUUUACACCUGGCACAUCAUCCACUGCUGUGGCAUCAUCCAUGCCUGGGGCAUCAUCCAUAGAUGUGCAUCAUUUAUGCCUUGGAGCAUCUUCCAUACCUGGGGAAUCAUCCACUGCUGGGACAUCAUCCACGGCUGUGGCAUCAUCCACACCUGGGGCAUCAUCCACUGCUGGGACAUCCAUGCCUGGGGCAUCAUCCACACCUGGGGCAUCAUCCACUGCUGGGAUAUCAUUCACUGCUGGGACAUUUACACCUGGGGCAUCAUCCAUGCCUGGGGCAUCAUCCACUGCUGGGACAUCAUCUACACCUUAGGCAUCCAUUGCUGGGGCAUCAUCCACUCCUGGGGCAUCAUCCAUGCCUGGGACAUCAUCCACGUUUCAGGUAUCAUCCACGCCUGGGACAUCAUUCACACCUUGGGCAUCAUCCACGCCUGGGGCAUCAUCCACUGCUGGGACAGCAUCCACUUCUGUGGCAUCAUCCACGCCUGGGGCAUCAUCCACUGCUGGGACAUCAUCCACGCCUGGGACAUCAUCCACGUGGGGGGCAUCAUCCACACCUGGGGCAUCAUCCAUGCCUGGGACAUCAUCCACUGCUGGGACAUCCACGCCUGUGGCAUCAUCCACACCUGGAGCAUCAUCCACUGCUGGGGAAUCAUCGACACCUGGGACGUCAUCCACUGCUGGUGCAUCAUCCACUGCUGGGAUAUCAUCCACCCCUAG